This 625-nucleotide ribosomal RNA is filed under the name Mandarina sp. A AD-2005. RNAcentral's name for it is "partial 12S ribosomal RNA". The record is from RNAcentral. Lineage: Eukaryota; Metazoa; Mollusca; Gastropoda; Stylommatophora; Camaenidae.
GUACAUAAUUUUAGAUAUAUUCAUUUUAUAUACUUAAUAAAGUUAAUUACAUUUAAGUCCUUCUUUAUUCACUUUUUUAAAAGUGUCUUUUGCUACAUUAAUGUAACUCGCCUAAGCUUCAUGAUAGUCUGCACCUUGAUCUGUAAUAUUAGGUGUAAUCUAUUAUGACAAUAUAUUAUAUAUUAUCAGGUUUACGACGGCAUACAAAAUAUUACAUGAAGUAGACUACCUUGGUGGUUAUCAAUUAUUUGGUAAGUUCCCCUAAAUUUUAAAAUUACCGUCAUGCUAUUUGAGUUUUAAUCAAGAAAAGAUUUUAGUACUCAGUACAUAUAGAAUGGGUAUUGUAUAAAAGGGUAUCUAAUCCUUGUUUAUAGUCAAUAUUUAGAAAAAAUACUAGAUUAUUUAUGAUUAUAAAUACUAUUUCACCAAAUAUUUGAUAUUAUAAGCUUUGUACAUACUAUAUACAGUUUAUUACUACAAAAGUCUGACCGCGACUGCUGGCACUUUUUUAGUCAUAGUACAUAUAAUUGGUUUAUUCUUACUUUCGUAAAUUUUUAAAUUUUCUUUCCUGGAAAUAUCUUUUUAGUUCCAUAAGUAUUCCUAUUCUAUAUAAACAGCUCACCAU